Molecule: long non-coding RNA, 670 nt
Filed under: Panax ginseng (ginseng)
Lineage: Eukaryota; Viridiplantae; Streptophyta; Magnoliopsida; Apiales; Araliaceae
Description: long non-coding RNA (PGIN_LNC011176)
Source: RNAcentral
UGCAUAUACCUUAUAUAGGAUUCUUAAGCCAUAAAAUCCUAUUUUUUAAUUUUCUUACUUCACAUAACAUAUUUAAUUCAUUUACUCAUAACUAGUCCAUUUUCAUGAAAAAUACCAAAUCAGUUCCAAAAAUAUUUCUUUUCUGUGAUUUAGCAUAAUAUAGUCCCACAUUGAACAUGUAUUUUUCUUAGAAUUUUUAAAAUUCAUUUACUAUUUUUCAUAUGGCCAAAACCGUCGAAUAUUUAGACAUUUAUCAUAAAUUGUACUUUUCUCCAAAAAUUCCGAAAUUCACAGAGUAUACUGAUGUUAUAUAGAUGUACUCUCAAUAUAAAUUUUAUCAAUUUUGGAGUUAACCACAAGGAGUUAUAAGCGUUUACUUUUAAAAUAGUUUUUUCUCUUAAAAUCCAUAACUCUUAAUCUAUAUAUCCAAAAAUCGCCAUUUUUGGACACAAUCAACAAAACUCAUCAAAUUAUCAUUUCAAAUUUUUCCAGAAUUUUUGAAGGUUCGCAAAAAAUUCAAAACUGAAAAACAUAAUAACCCUUAAAAUCCCGUACCUCAAAAGAGCAAUACUUCUGACAGGAAUGUCGGAUAUAACGCUGAAGAGAACUUGCACCGUAUAGCAACACUCAAGAUAUCUAAAUACUCACAAAAAUACGCUCGAUAAUAUAU